GAUGAACGCUGGCGGCGUGCCUAAUACAUGCCAGUCGAGCGAACGGACGAGAAGCUUGCUUCUCUGAUGUUAGCGGCGGACGGGUGAGUAACACGUGGAUAACCUACCUAUAAGACUGGGAUAACUUCGGGAAACCGGAGCUAAUACCUGAUAAUAUUUUGAACCGCAUGGUUCAAAAGUGAAAGACGGUCUUGCUGUCACUUAUAGAUGGAUCCGCGCUGCAUUAGCUAGUUGGUAAGGUAACGGCUUACCAAGGCAACGAUGCAUAGCCGACCUGAGAGGGUGAUCGGCCACACUGGAACUGAGACACGGUCCAGACUCCUACGGGAGGCAGCAGUAGGGAAUCUUCCGCAAUGGGCGAAAGCCUGACGGAGCAACGCCGCGUGAGUGAUGAAGGUCUUCGGAUCGUAAAACUCUGUUAUUAGGGAAGAACAUAUGUGUAAGUAACUGUGCACAUCUUGACGGUACCUAAUCAGAAAGCCACGGCUAACUACGUG
RNAcentral lists this ribosomal RNA (497 nucleotides) under uncultured bacterium. RNAcentral's name for it is "partial 16S ribosomal RNA". It matches the Rfam family "Bacterial small subunit ribosomal RNA", at positions 28 to 507 of the family's 1533-position model. The record is from RNAcentral.